UACAGAGGGGGCAAGCGUUGUUCGGAAUUACUGGGCGUAAAGGGCGCGUAGGCGGCCCGCUAAGUCGGACGUGAAAUCCCCGAGCUCAACUCGGGAACUGCGUCCGAUACUGGUGGGCUUGAAUCCGGGAGAGGGAUGCGGAAUUCCAGGUGUAGCGGUGAAAUGCGUAGAUAUCUGGAGGAACACCGGUGGCGAAGGCGGCAUCCUGGACCGGCAUUGACGCUGAGGCGCGAAAGCUGGGGGAGCAAACGGG
This 253-nucleotide ribosomal RNA is filed under the name uncultured bacterium. RNAcentral describes it as "partial 16S ribosomal RNA". It matches the Rfam family "Bacterial small subunit ribosomal RNA", at positions 524 to 776 of the family's 1533-position model. The record is from RNAcentral.